AGAUUGAACGCUGGCGGCAGGCCUAACACAUGCAAGUCGAGCGGUAGAGAGGUGCUUGCACCUCUUGAGAGCGGCGGACGGGUGAGUAAUGCCUAGGAAUCUGCCUAGUGGUGGGGGAUAACGUUCGGAAACGGACGCUAAUACCGCAUACGUCCUACGGGAGAAAGCGGGGGACCUUCGGGCCUCGCGCCAUUAGAUGAGCCUAGGUCGGAUUAGCUAGUUGGUGAGGUAAUAGCUCACCAAGGCGACGAUCCGUAACUGGUCUGAGAGGAUGAUCAGUCACACUGGAACUGAGACACGGUCCAGACUCCGUACGGGAGCAGCAGUGGGGAAUAUUGGACAAGUGGG
RNAcentral lists this ribosomal RNA (348 nucleotides) under uncultured soil bacterium. RNAcentral's name for it is "bacterial SSU rRNA". It matches the Rfam family "Bacterial small subunit ribosomal RNA", at positions 26 to 376 of the family's 1533-position model. The record is from RNAcentral.